AGUGAACGCUGGCGGCAGGCCUAACACAUGCAAGUCGAGCGGCAGCGGGUCCUUCGGGAUGCCGGCGAGCGGCGGACGGGUGAGGAAUGCAUCGGAAUCUGCCCUGUCGUGGGGGAUAACCUAGGGAAACUUAGGCUAAUACCGCAUACGACCCACGGGUGAAAGCGGGGGAUCGCAAGACCUCGCGCGAUAGGAUGAGCCGAUGUCCGAUUAGCUAGUUGGCGGGGUAAAGGCCCACCAAGGCGACGAUCGGUAGCUGGUCUGAGAGGAUGAUCAGCCACACUGGAACUGGGACACGGCCCAGACUCCUACGGGAGGCAGCAGGGGGAAAUAUUGAAAAUGGGCGGAAGCCCUGUCCCACCCAGCCCCGGUGGGGAAGAAGGGCCUCCGGGUGGAAAGGCCCUUUGGUCGGGGAAGAAAUCGUCUGGGCUAAUACCCCGGGCGGAUGACGGUACCGGAAGAAUAAGCACCGGCUAACUUCGUG
RNAcentral lists this ribosomal RNA (484 nucleotides) under uncultured bacterium. Its description in RNAcentral is "partial 16S ribosomal RNA". It matches the Rfam family "Bacterial small subunit ribosomal RNA", at positions 30 to 507 of the family's 1533-position model. The record is from RNAcentral.